CCAGGCAUAGUACGGACAAUGUGAGCGUUAUCGUGGUUGAUUUAAGAAGGAAUCAACAGUCAUGAACAAGAAUAAUAGUACAUAUAGUAAUUAGAACUGUUAUAAAAAAAUAAUGAGAAGGAAAAAAAUGAAAAAUAUGGAGUAGUUUUAUUUAGCUUUAAAUUGUAUAUUUGUAAAGUCUCCUUCUGAAAGAAGGGGAUAAAGGAUCAAAGGACAAUCGAAAAUUUCCGUAUGGGAUUUGGUUUUUGAGGCUGGAGAAUGAUUAUUGACGUAGAGUUGUGGUGGGGAAUACUAAUUUUUAUGGUUCUAAA
This 311-nucleotide unclassified non-coding RNA is filed under the name Hevea brasiliensis (rubber tree). The record is from RNAcentral. Lineage: Eukaryota; Viridiplantae; Streptophyta; Magnoliopsida; Malpighiales; Euphorbiaceae.